RNAcentral lists this ribosomal RNA (886 nucleotides) under uncultured Termite group 1 bacterium. RNAcentral's name for it is "bacterial SSU rRNA". It matches the Rfam family "Bacterial small subunit ribosomal RNA", at positions 524 to 1402 of the family's 1533-position model. Lineage: Bacteria; Pseudomonadati; Elusimicrobiota. The record is from RNAcentral.
UACGUAGGGUGCAGCGUUACUCGGAUUUACUAGGCGUAAAGCGCGUGUAGGCGGAGUUUUAAGUCCAUCGUGAAAGAUCCCCGCUCAACGGGGAAGGGUCGAUGGAUACUGAAACUCUCGAGUGAGGCAGGGGGAACCGGAAUUCCCGGUGUAGCGGUGAAAUGCGUAGAUAUCGGGAGGAACGCCGAAGGCGAAAGCGGGUUCCUGGGCCUAUACUGACGCUGAGACGCGACAGCUAGGGGAGCAAACAGGAUUAGAUACCCUGGUAGUCCUAGCCGUAAACGAUGUAGACUAGGCGUGGGAGGUAUCGACCCCUUCCGUGCCGCAGCUAACGCGUUAAGUCUACCGCCUGGGGAGUACGGCCGCAAGGUUAAAACUCAAAGGAAUUGACGGGGGCCUGCACAAGCGGUGGAUCAUGUGGUUUAAUUCGACGCUACACGAAGAACCUUACCUGGGCUCGAACGGCUGGUGUUGUACUCCGAUGGAAACAUCGGAGGACCCGAUGAGGGACCCAGUCGAGGUGCUGCAUGGUUGUCGUCAGCUCGUGUCGUGAGAUGUUGGGUUAAGUCCCGCAACGAGCGCAACCCCCGCCCUAUGUUGCCAGCGGGUAAUGCCGGGCACUCUUAGGGGACUGCCGGCGACAAGUCGGAGGAAGGAGGGGAUGACGUCAAAUCAUCAUGGCCUUUAUGUCCAGGGCUACACACGUGAUACAAUGGCGUAGACAGCGGGAAGCAAUGGGGCGACCCGGAGCAAAUCCCUUAAACUACGCCUCAGUUCAGAUUGUAGGCUGCAACUCGCCUACAUGAAGGCGGAAUCGCUAGUAAUCGCGCAUCAGCACCGGCGCGGUGAAUACGUUCCCAGGCCUUGCACACACCGCCCGUCAAGG